RNAcentral lists this ribosomal RNA (239 nucleotides) under uncultured Lactobacillus sp. Its description in RNAcentral is "partial 16S ribosomal RNA". It matches the Rfam family "Bacterial small subunit ribosomal RNA", at positions 125 to 355 of the family's 1533-position model. Lineage: Bacteria; Bacillati; Bacillota; Bacilli; Lactobacillales; Lactobacillaceae. The record is from RNAcentral.
CCGUAGCCCAAGAGAUCGGGAUAACACCUGGAAACAGAUGCUAAUACCGGAUAACAACAGAUGAUGCCUAUCAACUGUUUAAAAGAUGGUUCUGCUAUCACUCUUGGAUGGACCUGCGGUGCAUUAGCUAGUUGGUAGGGUAACGGCCUACCAAGGCGAUGAUGCAUAGCCGAGUUGAGAGACUGAUCGGCCACAUUGGGACUGAGACACGGCCCAAACUCCUACGGGAGGCAGCAGUA